Molecule: ribosomal RNA, 237 nt
Filed under: uncultured bacterium
Lineage: Bacteria
Description: partial 16S ribosomal RNA
Rfam family: Bacterial small subunit ribosomal RNA
Source: RNAcentral
CGUAAAGCGCAUGCAGGUGGUUUUGUUAAGUCAGAUGUGAAAGCCCGGGGCUCAACCUACGGAAUUGCAUUUGAAACUGGCAAACUAGAGUACUGUAGAGGGGGUAGAAUUUCAGGUGUAGCGGUGAAAUGCGUAGAGAUCUGAAGGAAUACCGGUGGCGAAGGCGGCCCCCUGGACAGAUACUGACACUCAGAUGCGAAAGCGUGGGGAGCAAAACAGGAUUAGAUACCCUGGUAA